UAGUCGGCGUUCACAUAUUUCACGGUGGUGGCAGUCGGCACAGUGUUUACGGUGGCAUAUAGCGUCUUCUGAUUCAUCAGAUGCUAGGUGUUUCUGAGAAAGCCUGCUUAGUGGUGGAAGAUAGUGUUAUUGGCCUACAGGCAUCAACAAAAGCUGGAAUGUCUUGUGUGAUUACCUACACAUCUUCAACCGCAGAAUAGGACAUUACA
Helianthus annuus (common sunflower) is the source of this 209-nucleotide long non-coding RNA. RefSeq lists it as uncharacterized. The transcript is spliced from 3 exons. The record is from RefSeq and is a predicted model, not a curated record. NCBI's taxonomy places the organism in Eukaryota, Viridiplantae, Streptophyta, Magnoliopsida, Asterales, Asteraceae.